CGCAGUCGAUGUGAAAGUCUUGUGCCAGGUUCAUUUUCUUUCUUUUUCAAGUAACCUGCUCCUAUAUCUGCAGUGAAGUUAGCGGAAUGCAUCGCGUUACAUUCAUCAUCUUUGGCGCUUUAGCGCUGUUCGUUUUGUGUGAGACCGGAAACUUCUUUGGUGUUCCAUGCGAUGUGAAAGGCAAGAUUGUCAACAAG
Molecule: long non-coding RNA, 197 nt
Filed under: Dermacentor andersoni
Lineage: Eukaryota; Metazoa; Arthropoda; Arachnida; Ixodida; Ixodidae
Description: uncharacterized LOC126524742
Source: RNAcentral